ACGUCCUCCCGUGCAUUCCUUUUCAUAUCCGGCCCAAGUGCAACGUUAGCCUUGGCCGAGUUUCGGGUUUCCUGUGUUGCGUACCUACUGUGAAGGCAUUCGUUUGUCCCAUCGUCCCUCAUUCGUCUUGUGUUGCCCUUCGGGGUUGCGGCACGGGACGAACCUCGAAGCUUCCUCUGUGAUCCACGCCACGCAUGUCGUGUCCGUGGCCCAUGGAGUUUUGCUCGAGCUCUUGGAUGCGGAACGCCUUGAGGGUAUGGGGUCUCACGGCCUCUGUUUUGCCCGAACUUGCGUUCGUCGCUAACUAGCGUACGACUGCCGUUUCCCGCCUUGGGCGGUCGUCCCUGUGGGCGGCCUGCUCAUGCGGUGACGGCGUCGGUGAGGAAUGCU
Molecule: unclassified non-coding RNA, 390 nt
Filed under: Gonioma kamassi
Lineage: Eukaryota; Viridiplantae; Streptophyta; Magnoliopsida; Gentianales; Apocynaceae
Description: partial external transcribed spacer
Source: RNAcentral